AAUUCUAGCCUUGUCGGUGGAUCACUCGGCUCAUGGUUCGAUGAAGAACGCGGCCAACUGCGAUAAGUAGUGUGAACUGCAGAAACAUUGAAUACAAAAAUUUCGAAUGCACAUUGCGCCAUAGGAUAAUUGUCCUUUGGCACGUCUGGUUCAGAGUCGUUU
RNAcentral lists this ribosomal RNA (162 nucleotides) under Trophurus wuhuensis. RNAcentral describes it as "5.8S ribosomal RNA". It matches the Rfam family "5.8S ribosomal RNA". From Rfam's summary of the family: 5.8S ribosomal RNA (5.8S rRNA) is a component of the large subunit of the eukaryotic ribosome. Lineage: Eukaryota; Metazoa; Nematoda; Chromadorea; Rhabditida; Telotylenchidae. The record is from RNAcentral.